RNAcentral lists this ribosomal RNA (114 nucleotides) under Acanthosepion pharaonis. Lineage: Eukaryota; Metazoa; Mollusca; Cephalopoda; Sepiida; Sepiidae. The record is from RNAcentral.
UUACGGUCAAAUCACGCUGAAACACCGGUUCUCGUACGAUCACCGAAGUUAAGCAGCGUAGAGCCAGGUCAGUACUUAGAUGGGAGACCGCUUGGGAACACCUGGUACUGUAAG